AGGGGAUACAUAGAGAGCAGUUGCUUUGCAAGAGUGUUCGGUGUAGAAGAAGGAAACAAACACUGAUCCAAGAAUACAUCUGAGUGAUCAUGGGUGGGACCCAAUGAGAAAAUUGAAAUACCAGAGUUCACAGCGCUUGAUAUCCAAAAAGAAGAGCCUUAUGGCUUCAGGACAUUCAGCGAGAGGAUGACCGAGGGAAACUGUGGGACCCGGCAUCUCCACACACAUACGUCUGUGAAAAAAAACAUCUUAACAGGGUUCCACAUAAAUGACCAUCUACAUCCAGACUAUGUGCCAUCUAUUUUUCUCCACUGACAGGAAUCUUGCUCUGAAAGAAAGCUCAGCUGUUUUGGCAAUGCAAGAAAACAAGAGAUGUGCGUCUCUCAAUUGCCACCACCCAAAAGAAAGAGGCUCCCCAGGACAUACAAUGCGGAUAGUAAUUCCAUCUUAUGUGAGCAAAAUGAAGACACUUCCGCUUUAUCAGAACCAAACGAAGACAAUGCUUCCUUAAGUGACGGUGAGCUAGAUAAAGAUGCACAACAUGAUACAAAAGAUAUCUUAGUGGGUUUCCUAAGGCCUGUUGCAGAAAGUGAAGGGGCUCAGAUGACAGUUGAAAUCAUCACUGAUGUUAAGCCUAGGGACAAAGUGUAAUUCCAC
This is a long non-coding RNA of Oncorhynchus tshawytscha (Chinook salmon), 657 nucleotides long. The record is from Ensembl. NCBI's taxonomy places the organism in Eukaryota, Metazoa, Chordata, Actinopteri, Salmoniformes, Salmonidae.